GAACGCUGGCGGCGUGCCUAAUACAUGCAAGUCGAGCGAACAGACGAGGAGCUUGCUCCUCUGACGUUAGCGGCGGACGGGUGAGUAACACGUGGAUAACCUACCUAUAAGACUGGGAUAACUUCGGGAAACCGGAGCUAAUACCGGAUAAUAUAUUGAACCGCAUGGUUCAAUAGUGAAAGACGGUUUUGCUGUCACUUAUAGAUGGAUCCGCGCCGCAUUAGCUAGUUGGUAAGGUAACGGCUUACCAAGGCAACGAUGCGUAGCCGACCUGAGAGGGUGAUCGGCCACACUGGAACUGAGACACGGUCCAGACUCCUACGGGAGGCAGCAGUAGGGAAUCUUCCGCAAUGGGCGAAAGCCUGACGGAGCAACGCCGCGUGAGUGAUGAAGGUCUUCGGAUCGUAAAACUCUGUUAUUAGGGAAGAACAAAUGUGUAAGUAACUAUGCACGUCUUGACGGUACCUAAUCAGGAAGCCACGGCUAACUACGUGCCAGCAGCCGCGGUAAUACGUAGGUGGCAAGCGUUAUCCGGAAUUAUUGGGCGUAAAGCGCGCGUAGGCGGUUUUUUAAGUCUGAUGUGAAAGCCCACGGCUCAACCGUGGAGGGUCAUUGGAAACUGGAAAACUUGAGUGCAGAAGAGGAAAGUGGAAUUCCAUGUGUAGCGGUGAAAUGCGCAGAGAUAUGGAGGAACACCAGUGGCGAAGGCGACUUUCUGGUCUGUAACUGACGCUGAUGUGCGA
Molecule: ribosomal RNA, 743 nt
Filed under: uncultured Staphylococcus sp.
Lineage: Bacteria; Bacillati; Bacillota; Bacilli; Caryophanales; Staphylococcaceae
Description: bacterial SSU rRNA
Rfam family: Bacterial small subunit ribosomal RNA
Source: RNAcentral